This 253-nucleotide ribosomal RNA is filed under the name uncultured bacterium. RNAcentral's name for it is "partial 16S ribosomal RNA". It matches the Rfam family "Bacterial small subunit ribosomal RNA", at positions 99 to 353 of the family's 1533-position model. The record is from RNAcentral.
CGGACGGGUGAGUAAUGUCUGGGAAACUGCCUGAUGGAGGGGGAUAACUACUGGAAACGGUAGCUAAUACCGCAUAACGUCGCAAGACCAAAGAGGGGGACCUUCGGGCCUCUCGCCAUCGGAUGUGCCCAGAUGGGAUUAGCUAGUAGGUGGGGUAACGGCUCACCUAGGCGACGAUCCCUAGCUGGUCUGAGAGGAUGACCAGCCACACUGGAACUGAGACACGGUCCAGACUCCUACGGGAGGCAGCAUG